CUUGGCGACCAUAGCACUUUGGACCCACCUGAUUUCCAUUCCGAACUCAGAAGUGAAACGAAGUAGCGUCGAUGGUAGUGUGGGGCUUCCCCAUGNCCCAGUUCGAUUCUGGGU
RNAcentral lists this ribosomal RNA (114 nucleotides) under Vibrio parahaemolyticus. The record is from RNAcentral. Lineage: Bacteria; Pseudomonadati; Pseudomonadota; Gammaproteobacteria; Vibrionales; Vibrionaceae.